GGCCUACGGGAGGCAGCAGUGGGGAAUAUUGCACAAUGGGGGGAACCCUGAUGCAGCAAUGCCGCGUGAAGGAUGAAGGUUUUCGGAUUGUAAACUUCUUUUGUACGGGACGAAGAAAGUGACGGUACCGUAAGAAUAAGCCACGGCUAACUACGUGCCAGCAGCCGCGGUAAUACGUAGGUGGCAAGCGUUAUCCGGAUUUACUGGGUGUAAAGGGCGUGUAGGCGGGAGUGCGAGUCAGAUGUGAAAACUAUGGGCUCAACCCAUAGCCUGCAUUUGAAAAUGUAAUUCUUGAGUGGUGGAGG
This 305-nucleotide ribosomal RNA is filed under the name uncultured bacterium. RNAcentral's name for it is "bacterial SSU rRNA". It matches the Rfam family "Bacterial small subunit ribosomal RNA", at positions 335 to 655 of the family's 1533-position model. The record is from RNAcentral.